This 215-nucleotide ribosomal RNA is filed under the name Glomeromycotina sp. RNAcentral's name for it is "partial small subunit ribosomal RNA". The stretch from base 40 to 215 matches the Rfam family "Eukaryotic small subunit ribosomal RNA", at positions 686 to 864 of the family's 1831-position model. The record is from RNAcentral. Lineage: Eukaryota; Fungi; Glomeromycota.
GGGUCAGUAGGUUGGUCGUGCCACCGGUACGUACUGGUCUCACUGAUUCCUCCUUCCUGAAGAACCGUAAUGCCAUUAAUUUGGUGUUGCGGGGAAACAGGACUGUUACUUUGAAAAAAUAGAGUGUUUAAAGCAAGCUAACGCUUGAAUACAUUAGCAUGGAAUAAUGAAAUAGGACGAUCGAUCCUAUUUUGUUGGUUUCUAGGAUUGACGUA